RNAcentral lists this transfer RNA (72 nucleotides) under Cavia porcellus (domestic guinea pig). It matches the Rfam family "tRNA". Rfam says of the family: Transfer RNA (tRNA) molecules are approximately 80 nucleotides in length. Their secondary structure includes four short double-helical elements and three loops (D, anti-codon, and T loops). Lineage: Eukaryota; Metazoa; Chordata; Mammalia; Rodentia; Caviidae. The record is from Rfam by way of RNAcentral.
AGAGAUGUAGCUCAGUGGCAGAGCACGUGUCUUUUAUGUACAAGGCUCUGGCUUCAAUCCCCAGCAUCAUAA